Molecule: ribosomal RNA, 477 nt
Filed under: uncultured bacterium
Lineage: Bacteria
Description: partial 16S ribosomal RNA
Rfam family: Bacterial small subunit ribosomal RNA
Source: RNAcentral
GGUGAACGCUGGCGGCGUGCCUAACACAUGCAAGUCGAACGAAGCACCUUACCUGAUUCUUCGGAUGAAAGUUUGGUGACUGAGUGGCGGACGGGUGAGUAACGCGUGGGUAACCUGCCCUGUACAGGGGGAUAACAGCUGGAAACGGCUGCUAAUACCGCAUAAGCGCACGAGGAGACAUCUCCUUGUGUGAAAAACUCCGGUGGUACAGGAUGGGCCCGCGUCUGAUUAGCUGGUUGGCAGGGUAACGGCCUACCAAGGCAACGAUCAGUAGCCGGUCUGAGAGGAUGAACGGCCACAUUGGAACUGAGACACGGUCCAAACUCCUACGGGAGGCAGCAGUGGGGAAUAUUGCACAAUGGGGGAAACCCUGAUGCAGCAACGCCGCGUGAGUGAAGAAGUAUUUCGGUAUGUAAAGCUCUAUCAGCAGGGAAGAUAAUGACGGUACCUGACUAAGAAGCUCCGGCUAAAUACGUG